GGAGGGGCAGCUGACGCCCUCCGUCCCCAGGGCCUCCCUGUGGAGCUCCUGCGUAGUGCUGCCGCUGCUGGCGCUGACCUGGAUGUCGGCUGUGCUGGCCGUCACGGACCGCCGCUCCGCCCUCUUCCAGAUCCUCUUCGCGGUCUUCGACUCGCUGGAGGGCUUUGUCAUUGUGAUGGUGCACUGCAUCCUGCGCCGAGAGGUGGGUGGCCCUCUGGACCAAGGUCCUUCCCCUGCCCGCCCUGCGGAGGGAGCCGGGAGACACCGCUUCUGGGGGCCCCAACUCCUGUCGGCUGCAGGGACCUGGCUGGGCAGGAGCGUCCACACGCAGUUCCACAGAGCCAGGGCUGCCACGAAUGGCCGCCUUGGACCAGGACAGCUUCCAGGACACCCUCGGCCUCGGGGUGCAGGGUGACGGAGGCAGCUGGGGCUCCAUCCUUGCGGAGCCUGCUGAACAAGAUUGCUGGUAGCAGAUGCUUUUGGCAUUGUCUGGACCAACCAAGUCUGAGUGGCCUGUCGGCCGGGGGCAGCAGAAGGGGUCACAUCCAGACCCCUGAGAGCUCGGAGUGUGGGGGGACAUGCGUCGUGACCUAGGGACUGGACUCCUAUGUGGCUCAGAACCAGGAUGUGGCUGCUGGGGCAAGAAGGCCCAAUCCUCCCCUUCUCCCCAGAACCUCCUAGGACAGUGGCAAGCGGACUCUUCAGAAGCUCAUAGAUGAGGGAGGACACUGAACAGGAAGGCCGUGGCACUCCCAGCCCUGGAAGGUCAGGCUGCAAGAGGAGAGGUCAUGACCUGAGCAGACUGCAGCGGGCAGCUAACUCCAGGCCACCGAAGCCCAGAGAGCUGCUGGGGGGGCCCCUCCCAGGAUCUCAGGAGACCAAAGGGAGGACCCUCUGGAGCCGCGCAUCCUGUCCCUCUUGGACAUCAGGGCACGUGGCCUCCCCAGCUGGGCUGCACUGCCCAGGAAGAGUGCACCAAAAGGCCCUGACGAUGGGCAUCAGUGUGGAGUGCCCCUUGGUCAGUCCACACUGACCCCGAGCCCACCCCUCUGGAAAAACGUGAACUUGCCAGCAGGAAAGAGGAGGGGACCUAAAGUUCCGGGUUCCAUGCUGCAGCUGGCGGCCCCUCUGGAAGCCCCCGCCUGCAGCCCCUGCCCCUGACAGCCCGCCAAGCGGCCACUGAGGUUGAGAACUGCUGAGGGAGGAGCCGGGCAGAAACGGCAUGGGGGACCGAAGAGCCCCCACGGAGGAAGGAACUCCCCAGAGCCCCGCCCUGCCAUCCCGAACGGCCACUCACCCUGACCACUGAGCACUACCAGUGCCUUGCCUGGCCCCAGAGAUCUGCUCGUGCCCUUGAUUCUCAGCGGCACCAUGGCCAGGUGCUCGACUGCCCGCCUGCCAACAGCCAUUCUGGCCCGGCAUGGACUUGGGGCUGCAGUCUGCUCCGAGGUCACCAUCUUGCCUCCGGCCCCUGUCCUGGCUGCUUGGCUUUGUGAACAAAGAAGAGCGGCCUGUGAGGAGGAAAGAGCAGGGACACCCCAAGGACAGAGCAGCUUGGGAGUUCAGACCUGAGGGCGGCAGCCGCAGAGGUGGCAGGGGUGAGGCCGGGGCGGGGGCUGGACAGACAUCUCUGAGACCUCGUCGAGGAGCGGGCAGAGCACCGCCGUGGAGCCUGGCCCUGGCUCAGAGCUGCAUGGAACCUCGCGAAGCACCCCUGGACCUCCGAUCACCACCUCCUUUGGCAGUUGCUGGCCACAUGGACAGGACAGGCAGAAGCUGCAGCCCCACCCGCGUGGCUGAGGUCCCUUCAUGGAGAGUGUUGCUGGAGGAGGAGCAGGCCGGUCCACCUGCAGGGACCCCCAUCCGUCUGCCUGCCUGAGAGAAGAGGCUUUGGUGAUGAAGGACAGGUCUGAGGCCACUGGAAGUCCUUGUCCGACUCCGGCCAGCAGGGCCUGCAGCGUUCAGCCAGGGGACUCCAGGUUUCUUCAUUCUUAUGCCACAGAGAGCGCGAGAGUGUCUCAGAGAUGAAGAGAGAGGCCAUGGCCUGCUGUGGACAUGUCCUGUCCCCUCCUCCACCACACCUCUCAGUCCUCCCCCCCCCGCCCGCUGCAGGCUUGCCCCUUCCCGGGCACCCCAGAGCUGCCAUGUCCCCGGGCCCUGCUGCACACUGACGCUCCCCGCUCCCUCCCCAGGUCCAGGAUGCCGUGAAGUGCCGCGUGGUGGAUCGCCAGGAGGAGGGCAACGGGGACUCGGGGGGCUCCUUCCAGAACGGCCAUGCCCAGCUCAUGGUAGGACUGGGAGCCGGGGGCACAGGCACCCCCACUGGGAACCUCAGGGUCCUCCCUGGGCCCAGAGCUGCCCUGGGCCGAGGCACCCAUUAGAGGAGCCCUCAGCUCAGUUUGCAUUUGAGGAAACUGAGGCUCUCCAAGGUGAACCCCGAUCCAGAGCUUCAGGCCGGGAAGGGUGGAGCUGGCGUCCAUCCCACGUCCAGCUGAGUGAGGCCCUGCCCGCCUGCCCGGCUCUUAGCCUGCCCCUUCUAGGACUGCACACAGGCCCCUGCGAGGCCAACAGCUCAGGGCCUCCUGAGCACCAGGCCUCUGUGCAGCUGCCCACAUCAGGCCCCCAUGGAUACUGAAACUGCCCGCCACCCUCAGACCCUGACUCCGGGCAGCCCAGAGCCCCAAGGCUCAACCAGGAUCCCCCAGCCCCUCUGGCCCCUGGCCUGGACCUGGCAGCUCGUGCCUAGGCCUUCUCUUGCCCAGGCUCCUGGCCCCCCACCGGCUGGCUUCCCGGCCUCGGGCAUCACCCACCCCAGCCCAGGCAGGGCCUCCAAAUCCCCACGAUGGCCUCAGCUUCUCCAUCCAGAAAGGGGCAGUGUCAGGGUUUCCGGCAGAUACUGGGUCCCUUGGAGACACAGCCCUUCCUGAUGCUUCUCCUGGCUAACCCCUGACCUUAGUGGGAAGAUUCGUCUUCCCGUCGACCUGUGUUUGCAGGGAAGGAGCGUCCAGGUUUGAGAGCAAGGGCUGGAUUGUCCCCUGGAGCCCUGUGGCCUCUGAAUGGGUCUGGGAUGGGCCCAGGCCAAGGGUGGGUCUGGGUGUCAUUCCCUUCUCCUCAGCUGCUGCCCUUCCUUGCUGCAGUGGGGACCAGGCCACUGCUCAAAGGAUGGCCAGUGGUGGCCGUCACCACAUUGGCGUCCCUCCCUUGCUCUGCCUGUCCCUGGCCUCUCUGCCUCAGCCCCAGCACCAUGGCAGGGGCCCAGGAGAGGAGGCGCUCCAGACCUCGAGGCUGCUCCUGGCCUGGGGUUGGAGGCUGUGGUCAGCAGGGCUGGCCAGCUGCCCCGUGGGGGCUUAGAAGAACACAGGCGUGCCUGCAGACACCGACGCAAACAACAGACAAGGAAACACGCACACGUACGCUCACGCUGUCACGCCACACGCGAACACGCCCACAGACACUGACGCGGACAGGAGCACUUGUUCCCAGACACGUCCACACCUGCUUCAGAGGCACAGUCGCCCUUGCCCAGAAGACGCUCCCACCCCCAGGCCUGCGGGCCCGUUUGGAGGCGUGGCCACCCUGCAGGGACUCUGUAGACGUGGCCUGGGUGCCUGGUGACAGCGCGUCAGCGCCUGGGCACCUUGUGUGUGGCCCUCCAGGCCUCCCUGCAGCAGUAGCCCCUCUGCCCCCCGGCCCUCACCCCUGCCCACCCUCUGUCUUGCAGACUGACUUUGAGAAGGAUGUGGAUCUGGCCUGUAGAUCAGGUGAGCGACCGACAGGUGAGACGGCAGGUGGCCGGGUCGGCCCACUGCUUCCUUCUCUUUGCCCAGCGUCUGUGUGCUCAUCUGUCCUCGCCCUCUGCUGGCACCAGGCCCCUGUCCCUCACACCCCGAGGCUGCAGGAGAGCUGUGGUGCUGUUGAGGGCGCUCCAGAAACCUGUCCCUGAGCCCCUGAUGGUCAGCCAGUCCAGCUCUCCUGCACCUGCCUGACUCCCCUGCACCCUCCUCCCAGGCAACGAGGCUGGGAAUUGUGCAUGAAACCCUGCCACCCAUCGCCACCCUCUCCUGCCACCCACCCUCCCUCAAGCACCCUGUUCUGUGUUGCCUUCACUUCAUCAUUAGUCCAGGUUGAGCUUGCAGGGAGGAGGACCCACCACUGGGGGUCUAGGCUAGUGCUGAGCUUCCUGGAAGCAAGAGCAAAAAGAGAAUCUGCCUAAUGAGGCUCCUAACCCACCCCCAAGAGUCAGAUAACAGAGGUCUGCUUCCUCCAGUGGUGUCCUGGGAACCAGGUAUCUGGGGCAGUGGCAGGCAGUCUUUGGCUGUGGAGGGGCCACCUAAUCAUGCUCCCUCUGGCUGGUCAGGUACUUAGGGCAUCUUCUCUAGAGAUAGACAUGAGGCUGGGACAGUCCCAGGUGACGAAUGUCAGCUGCUGCCAGGUGGACCCCAGCCGCGUGGGUGUGCACUGGGCCCCCAGAGUGCUUGGUGCCUUCUGAAUGGCUUGCAGCCAGCAGGUGGGGCCACACAGCCAGUGCUGGGCACAGGUAGGGGAGGCACACCACCCGUCCACAGUGCUGGACGCUAGCCCUGCCACACAGGGAGCCGAGCACCUGGGGGCGAUGGGGUGUCUGGGCCCGUGGGGCGUGGGACGUUGUUGAGUGACCAGCCCCAGCUGGGCGUCUCCUGAGAUGGCCUUGACCCUGGGGGAAGGUGCAGGUGGAGAGGGCAGUGGAGAAGCACGACCUGCCAGGGCCAGCUGCAGGAGAGAAGGCGCAGGUGGCUAGACCCUGCAAGGGGCCUGGGGAGCGCCCAGGAGGUGGUGGCUAACACCAGUGGGUCCUGGUGAGCUGGGAUGGAGGGAGCAGCUGGUAGACACCAGUGCUGGCCCGGAUAUGCACAGGAGCCCAUCCUCAGGCCAUUAUGGGUGGGGCACCGGGUUGGGUCUGGCUCUUUAGAGAAUGGAACCACUGGGUGUGGAGAGGCUGCCGUGGACGCUGGGUGGUGGAAAGCUCUGGCCCUCCAAUGGCUAGUGGAGGCGGGAUAAUCAGGAGUGGGAUGGGAGGUGGGGCCAGCCAAGCCCCGGUCACAGGGCAGGCAGCCUGGGCCAGCUGUCCAGGGACCAGAUGACCUUCAGAGUGGAGGGUGCCCGCCAGGCAUAGGCGUCCAGGCUCCAGGUGCUGGGAGGCAGGAGGCGUCCCUCAGGGUGCAGGCUUGAGUGCUUGGGAGCCUGGGUUGGGCCUGCUGCCCUCCUGGGCAGAUCCUGGCACGUCCUCCCUACACCGACUCAGCCAUGAGCAGGCUUUGGGCAGCGGGGACGCUUGACCAGCCGGGGUCCCUUCCCCAGAAUAGGCUGCUCCACCUGCCGCACUGGUGGGUCCCUGCACUCCUGGGUAGGCCACCUUGCUUGUCCUUCUGAGCUGCUAGGACAGGCCACUUGUGGGUGACAGUUGUUUGUCUUCUUGCUGGGGCAGGCAGAGGGGCACCCAGGUGCCAGCCUUGCUUAAAAAGAUAUGAGCCUUGGCCAGCUCCGCACCAGGCCUGGGUCAGGGGCAAGUGCCCCAGGCCAGCCAGCAGGUGGGACCGGGGGCAGUGGUGCUGGCCUGUCUGGGCCCUCCCGCUGGGGGCCUGCCUGACCCCCAUCUGCCGCUCAUGACCCCACAGUGCUGAACAAGGACAUCGCGGCCUGCCGCACGGCCACCAUCACAGGCACGCUCAAGCGGCCAUCACUGCCUGAGGAGGAGAAGCUGAAGCUGGCCCAUGCCAAGGGGCCACCGUCCACCUUCAACAGCCUGCCGGCCAACGUGUCUAAGCUGCACCUGCAUGGCUCGCCCCGCUACCCUGGUGGGCCCCUGCCCGACUUCCCCAACCACUCACUGACCCUCAAGAAGGACAAAGCACCCAAGUCCUCCUUCGUUGGCGAUGGGGACAUCUUUAAGAAGCUGGACUCAGAGCUGAGCCGGGCCCAGGAGAAGGCUCUGGACACGAGCUACGUGAUCCUGCCCACGGCCACGGCCACACUGCGGCCCAAGCCGAAGGAGGAGCCCAAGUACAGCAUCAACAUCGACCAGAUGCCCCAGACGCGCCUCAUACACCUGAGCAUGGCGCCCGAGGCCGGCUUCCCCACCCGCAGCCCACCCACCCGCGAGCCCCCUGGCAGCGGGCCUCCAGAGGCACCCCCUGCCCAGCCCCCGCCACCCCCACCCCCACCACCCCCACCGCCCCAGCAGCCCCUGCCUCCACCGCCCACCCUGGAGCCAGCGCCUCCCAGCCUGGGGGACACGGGGGAGCCCUCCGCCCACCCAGGACCAAGCUCGGGGACUGUCACCAAGAACGAAAACGUCACCACCUUGUCUGUGAGCUCCUUGGAGGUGAGGGUACCAGGGCCAGCUGAGCUGGUGGGGCCAGCUGAGCUGGUGGGGCCAGCGGGUUGGGCUGCACUCAGCGCGGUGUCUAAGGGCGUCCCAGGGGGCUCGGGCGGCCGGCCCGGCCUGCAGGGGAGGCUCCCGGCCCCCAGCAGCAGCAGCAGAUGGGCCGUGCUGACAGGCCGGCUUCUACCUGCACCACUGGCCGGGCAGGGCUGGCCAGGACCCGCUGCCCUCAGGCCCACUCCCAGGGCAGCAGGCCAAGUGAGAGGGAGCUUUUAGCAGCCCAUGCUGGCCAUGCCUCUUGUCCCUGCCCCCUCUCAGGCCCCAGCCUGGGUGCUGAGUCUAGCCUCCUCAUGAACGGGCAGUGUGGCAGCAAGUGUCCCCAUAUCAACCUGGCGUCUUGAGUUGACCAGUGGGAUGUGAGACUCCCGUCAGGGUAGGGCCUGAGGGAUGUACUGCCCCUCCUGGCUCUCGGCCUCUGGGGAUGCACCUGGGAUCCGAGUGCAUCCUCGGGUGAGCCCAGCCUUGUGGCCCUCGUCAGUCCUUCUGACCCUGGGCAGCAUGUGCUGGUCUGGCUGAGCUGGACACCCCUGCCCAGCCCUGACUCUGGCCCCUGGCACAUGCAUGUGGGAGGAGCAGCGUCCAGACGAGCUGGCAGACGGGCCCCUUGGGGCCGGGAGAGGAGGGCUGUGCUGGCCCAGGGUCCUGCCGUCGGGAGGAAGCUGCUCCUGUCCUGUCUGCCAGCCUGUUGCUGACAGCUUCCCUUCAACCUCAGCAACCCCACUGCACCUCCCGAGCCCCCCGCUGGCCUUAGUGAGUCCAGGGAAAGGCAGCCUGCACAGAACACAGGCCCUCGGGGCACACCCUCUGGCCUGGCGUGGACCCUGAAGGCAGGACAGGGGUUGGUCGCCCUCCCUCACCACAGGGAGGACCUGGACUCAUGGUCCGGGAGUCUUAGGGAACCAGUAACAAAUGAGCAUAAACUUGUCCCCACAGCGGCGAAAAUCGCGGUAUGCAGAACUGGACUUUGAGGUGGGUGCUGAUGUCCCCCUCCCUGGACAGGCAGGGCACACCCAGCCCCUGACCAGGCAGCUCAGGCCACUGGGGCGGGCAGGGAGGUGGAGUUGGGGCGGUGGCGGGCCUUGUCCCCAGGGGCUGGUGAUGGGCAGCAUGGCCGGCCAGGCCCUGCUCAGGACAGUGGCCUCCCUCUGCAGAAGAUCAUGCACACGCGGAAGCGGCACCAGGACAUGUUCCAGGACCUGAACCGGAAGCUGCAGCACGCGGCCGAGAAGGACAAGGAGGCGCUGGGCCCCGACAGCAAGGUUGGAGGGCGGGGGCGGCACGGGGUCCCGGGGCCUCCCCUGCUGUCCACACCCACUCUGCCCACCUGGUCACUCACUCCUUCACUCAUUCUGCCUCUCCUGAGGACCGGCCUGGUGGGCCCAGGCUGGACCCCGAGGGGCAGGACGCAGCUGAGCCUGGCACGGCGCUCGGGUGUGGUCAGGGUGGGGGCAGGCGGGUUCCCAGCCGCCCUCCCUGCCAGCCCCGGGCCCUGCCAGUCGUAGGGUGAGAUGUGCCGGGGCCCCUCCCUGAAGCCCCUCCUGACCUGGUCUGCCCCCUCUUCUCCCUCCCGCUGCACCCUGCCUCUCGCCCGCGCCCCUGCCACUCGCCCCGCAGCCAGAAAAGCAGCAGACGCCCAACAAGCGGCCCUGGGAGAGCCUCCGGAAGGCCCACGGGACGCCCGCCUGGGUGAAGAAGGAGCUGGAGCCACUGCCGCCGUCGCCCCUGGAGCUGCGGAGCGUGGAGUGGGAGAAAGCCGGAGCCACCAUCCCGCUGGUGGGCCAGGACAUCAUCGACCUCCAGACGGAGGUCUGAGUGGGCGGGCGGCGGCCCGCACUGGGCCAGGAGGAGGGAUCUGCUCUGCCCGCUCCGGCCACAGGACGGGCACAGGCACGCUCACGCGCAGGCCAGGCCUGCACCCCGGCCUCAGGGCACAGACGGCCAGGCAGAGGGCCCGCGCUGGGACCAGAGCCAGACGCAGGACAGGAGGUGGCGCAGCCCGGCAGGCACAGGGCUCCAGAGGCCCAAAGGUGCCUCAGACUCUGCCCUUCUAGGGCGAGCCCCAGCGGGCGGGGGGCUGUGGACAGCGGACAGGCCUGGAUGGGCCAGUGUCCCCAGGAUGCCCACCUGAGACUCCGCUGCAGAGGACCAGCCCGUGUGGCCCGCUGGCCUGGCUCCAUUUUUUAGACAUCCCCCACCCCUGGGGAAGCAGCCAGACCCCCACUCCCUUCCAGGGCCCUGGGCCCCUCUCAGACCCAGGCAGAGAGCACAGCCCUGACCCGAGGCCCCCAGGGGCAGGACUAAGCCCACUUUGGGAAGACACAGGGUGGGGAAUCU
This 8755-nucleotide long non-coding RNA is filed under the name Marmota monax (woodchuck). The record is from RNAcentral. Lineage: Eukaryota; Metazoa; Chordata; Mammalia; Rodentia; Sciuridae.